This is a non-coding RNA of Girardinichthys multiradiatus, 72 nucleotides long. Lineage: Eukaryota; Metazoa; Chordata; Actinopteri; Cyprinodontiformes; Goodeidae. The record is from the annotation of a RefSeq genome assembly.
UCCCUGGUGGUCUAGUGGUCAGGAUUCGGUGUUUUCACCGCCGCUGCCCAGGUUCGAUUCCCGGUCAGGGAA